Molecule: long non-coding RNA, 3521 nt
Organism: Gasterosteus aculeatus aculeatus (three-spined stickleback)
Lineage: Eukaryota; Metazoa; Chordata; Actinopteri; Perciformes; Gasterosteidae
Source: Ensembl
GACGUGAGACUUCAGCAUCCUCUCAUCCCGCGAUGAAAAAAAUAAGAACGGAGGAUCUAUUGUACAGAAACACAGAAACACACCGCCGAUCGCGUGUUGCUGAAAUGUGAAAUGAGGAACUAAAGCCGUCAGCAGUAAAGCUGGCACGGUUAUAAAGGGCCGCACAGCCAUAACUUACAUCAACAUAAAACCUCCACUCAUGCAUACAGAAUCACAUUGAGGUGCGUACAUCUCGCCCCAGUAGGUGAUUUAAUUUCACGCAAUUUGCAUGCCCUCAUGAAAAGAAUAUUUAAUCUUCCUGCUCACAUGCCAACUGAGCCUCUACUCAAAGGUAGCGCACGCUACUGCAACGAUUCUGCAGCAAAAGGGUCUAACGAGCUCAUGCUGAUUAAAGCACUGGCAAAGGUGUGUGUGUGAUUUACAUCCAUGGAUGUGCACACACACACACUGAGUUGGGACUGGAUGAAGAGAACUCAGUGGGAUUGAUGUUGACGCGUCACACAGACAAACACUGGCGUCCCGUGGGAACGACAGCAGAGCUCGCUUUCGACCCGCGCUGCUGCGUCUCCUUGUGCGGAAUGUUUGCAAAAUAGUGAGUACGGAAAAAAUACGGCUCAGCGAAGGCACCAAGUACAAUGCGGCCGCGCUAUUCAAGGCGGUGAAUUACCCAUUCAGAGCCCAUCUGUGAUUAAAGGGACGGCGGCUAGCAGCUAACGGCGCUAACAACAACAGCGUUCUGUGUUCUUCUGGUAAACACUCCAUUCAACAACACAGGACUUUUGAAGAAAAGACACACUGUGCUGUUUUUGCCCUGAACACCACUUCUACAUUCCUUCUCUUCAGCUGUUCUGCUUGUGGAAGACUAUUACGUCUGUUCGCUACUGAAACACACACAAAAACUAAACAUCCUCCGUCCCAACGAGGGGUCCAGAGUGCCAAAAGGGAAAUAAGGCGAGAAGGUUAUAAACCUCUGCACUAGAGGAAGUAGAGUUUCCCAGCGUUAAGCCCCAAAUGGAUACCGUCAAAAUAAGGUCAGCAGGCUUUUGUUCCAUAUGGAGAGGGAGGGCUUAGUCAUGUGACUUCCAUGUGUCCGGGGCUGCAGCGCUGCAACAAAUGAGGUCAGCCUUCAGGUAAAUGACUCGAACAGCCGGCAGCGCCUCAGGACGGGCCCUGCUCCACACACACACGCACGCACACACACACGCAUACACACACACACGCACACACACACGCAUACACACACACACGCACACACGCACGCACGCACACGCACACACACACGCACGCGCGUCCACGCAUAGAGCGUGACUGGCCCUAGUGGAGGUGAAGGGAUGCAACACAACGUCGGCCUCUCCCCUUUUCUUUCCAUCACUGUCAUCACGCCAAUCGGAAACGGGUCCAUUGAUCACCGCCGGGUUCUGAGGAGGCCGUCAUUCAGAGGGAGGCGUUGCGUCCUCUGUGGGGUGAACAGUUUUUGUGCGAUUAGCUGUGCGGCAUCUAAAGCCCUCUUCUAUUUAUUUUGUCCAUAAAGGGGGAAGAUGAACACUAAUGUCACAUGUAUAGACAUGUUUCCUGUAUAGACAUGUUUGAUAGACAUGUUUCAUAUAGAGACAUGUUUCAUAGACAUGUUUCAUAUAUAGACAUGUUUCAUAGACAUGUUUCAUAGACAUGUUUCAUAUAUAGACAUGUUUCAUAUUCAUAUAUGUUUCAUAGACAUGUUUCCUGUAUAGACAUGUUUCAUAGACAUGUUUCAUAUAGAGACAUGUUUCAUAGACAUACAUGUUUCAUAGACAUGUUUCCUGUAUAGACAUGUUUCAUAGACAUGUUUUAUGUAUAGACAUGUUUCAUAUAUAGACAUGUUUCAUAUAUAGAUAUGUUUCAUAGACAUACAUGUUUCCUGUAUAGACAUGUUUCAUAGACAUGUUUCAUAGACAUGUUUCCUGUAUAGACAUGUUUCAUAGACAUGUUUUCAUGUAUACACAUGUUUCAUGUUUCAUGGCCCACGUGAAGCCACAUUAGCUUUCAUUUGAAGUUGAGUUGAAUGUCUUUCUGUUUCAGUCUGUUUCAACGAACAGCAUAUUACCAAAAGCAUUUUUCGUGCAAUGGCCGCUAAAUGCCUUUUGUUGGUCGGCUGUUUGUUGAUGGGCAGGUAAUGUACCGUACUUUUAUGUUGCAUGCAGUUGUUGUUGAUACAAAUGCCUGGAACCCCCCCCCCCCCCUCGCCUCCCCUGUGGCUUUCACCCAUUAUUCUGAGAUGUGUAGCCUCAGGGGACGAGAACUCCUUCAUUCAAUUUUAAAUUCACGCAAUUUGGUUUUGUUUGGUUCAUUUCAUCCCUUUACCUAUUACCUCAUUUCCUCUGUUGUUGACAGACAAGCAGAAUAACACACACGCACACACAGACACACACACCUGGGACAGGGGUCAUCUAACUGAACCCUGGUUUACCUGUCUACUAGGUAAACAGAACAAAACCCAGACUUUGUCCUGUCAAACACAGCUCUUAUCUCAGGUAACGGGAUGGAAUGAAAAUCUGGAGCUCGGAUCAAACCUUCUCAAUCGACGAGUCAUCCGAAAAACAGUGCUUUGCAUGAUGGGAAACUCAACAACCAAGUUGGACUAAUGCCUUUCAUCAUUCAUCAUUUCAUCACACGUCCGUCAUGCAGGGAGACAUUAUGAAUGAUCUUCCCUUAUCGGCCCUGAACAGUACGGCUGAGCUUAAUUGAUUUGUUCAGAGCUUUACUUCACCUUUGUACCCGACUCUUCACUCGAGAGCUUCUCGCCGUCCACCUGAUCAAGAUUAAAGCACUGAGGUGGGAACCAGCGGACAUUAAGUCCAAGAGGGAAACCGACAUCGAGAGGAAAAGAUUGGAUCAAACGCGGUGGGAGAGUGAGUUUUAUUCUCUGCUCGAUUAGACGUCGCUCCACUGUACACAAUGGUUAAUGUUCUGAAUAUUGCAUCGAGAACCUUUAAAAAAACUCUAGACGAGGUCAGCCUCUAAAAUACAUUUUGCCAUUUUAUUUUCCCAGACUGCUGCUCUCGAAGGCCAAACACUCACGGCGCACAAUUACAGCUCAACAAGGAAUAUAAACGGGGUAAAACGAGUUAGCAGACAACCCAGGAAGACAUUAAGACAAUCAUUUAUUCAUCCACCCAGUGAAUUAUAAAUCUAUAUUUGGAUUUCCAUAAAAUGGAGGAUGAGUCAUACCGACCGUGUGAUCACUGUGUAUUUUCGUGGACCAAAUACUAACUCUCAAACAAAUGCCAACUGCAUAGUAGCCCUCACACUUAACAGCUCCACAGGUUAAAUUCCCUUUUAAAUCUCAUUCUUGCGAUAGAACCCCUACCUGACGCAUCACAAAGGAAACCGCCGAGAGGGGAAUAAAAGAGGCCUUCGGCCCCCGAGGGCUUCUCCUCUUCUUCAAAGAACAAUACUCGCAGUCUCCCGACUGUCACUGAGAAGGAUAUUCCAGCUGAAAAACAAAUGUCUCUUCCAAAGAGGGGGAUGGGUGGAUGGAGGGG